Molecule: small nuclear RNA, 106 nt
Organism: Hyaena hyaena (striped hyena)
Lineage: Eukaryota; Metazoa; Chordata; Mammalia; Carnivora; Hyaenidae
Source: RefSeq, a predicted model, not a curated record
GCACUAACUUCUGCAGGACAUAUACUAAAUUUAGAACGAUACAGAGAAGAUUAGUACAGCCCUGCACAAAGGUGACACACAAAUUCAUGAAACAUUCCAUAUAUUU